This 44-nucleotide ribosomal RNA is filed under the name Melampodium strigosum. Lineage: Eukaryota; Viridiplantae; Streptophyta; Magnoliopsida; Asterales; Asteraceae. The record is from RNAcentral.
GGUUGCAAUCAUACCAGCACUACAGCACCGAAUUCCAUCAAAAC